UAUUUUACAAGUCAAUCUUAGGUCUGUGUCUCCUAACUGGUAUCAGACAAGAGUACAAACUUACUAUCUUUGAUUUCAGGACCUUUCUGAAAGUGAGGAUUUUAUGAAAUGUGUGAAAUCAACUGAAACUCAUAUUGGUGCAUUUUUAUGAUGUAAAAAAGCAGGAAAGACCACUAGCAACAAGAUUGGCAAUUUUUAAAUUAUAUUUUUUGAUAUCUGAAUUUACUGCAAGGGGACAGGUGUCAGCCAAAUCGCUGAAGGAGAAUCCCAUUUUUUCAUCAGUUGACAUGUAAAAUACCCACAAUGAAUGUCAAAAGUCAGCAGAAUUAGAUUUUUUUUGUCAGAAAGUGCUGCUUCACUGUAUGGAGUGCAGAAUAAGUACAGUCUUUGUCCACAGGGGGCGCCAAAGUCGACACAAACUGAAAGUUUCUAACAGGAGCUUUAAGUCCUAUCCUAUUUUUUUUCCUCCCAAAUCCAAUCCUUUAACACCCUAAAGCUCAUUCCCUGCUGCAGUUGAUGGUUUUCUUCAAUUUGUUUGAUGUCUUUUUCACCUAUCUCCUUUUAUGCUACUCAAAUAAAUUGAGAGUAGUUUCAGAAAUAUCUUUCAUAUUUCCUUCUGAUGUUAUUUGAAAGUAGUAUUAUCAUCAGCCCGUCAAAAGGAAUCUGUUAAAUUAUAAACAGUAUACUAAAAGUGCAGUAACUCCUCUGAUUUGAUGUGUCGUGUGAUCAGGUGGUCUCUUGUGUCACUGUUGAUAUUCAGACAUAAUUAGCAUUGCCAGGAAUUUUUCAGCUAUCAGAAUCAAAUAUUUAGAGGGGUGAUGAGUAAGAAAGCUGGGUAAUUUUGGUUUAAUGUACAGAAGGCUUUUGUGAAGUGAUUAAUCGGACUGAAAUGAUCACUGCUACCUCUCUGAAGCCAAUGAACUAUAGGGAAUAAAAGAAGCUCCUUCAGUGGUUUAAUGAGGGUUGGUUUCGGAUGAGAUAAUUAACAGCACAGAACAAAAGAGCCUUUGUUGACAGACUCACAGUGAGCAAUAUAUUAGCCAGUUAAAGACAGGAAAAAAUUGUACAUGAAGCAACAAAUAUACAUACAGGAUUAGCGUAGACAUAUUGUGUUUUUUUUUCCAUGGAGGUCUCCAGAACAACAAAAAUAAAAGGCUUUCUCAGCAGCUGUGAGUAAAUGAUCUGAAAAUUUCCCUGCCAUCCCCGGGGCUCAAGUAUGAUGUGUUUAUAUACGAGAGGCUGACAUCCUGAUGAAUACCACCAGCACAAAAACUGUGUUUCUUGUACCUUAAUAUUUCAAAAACACGUUUUGAAAGGAUGGAAACAUCAUGAAAAUAGCUUCCGAGGUGUAUAACAUAACCUCUCUGGACACCUCUCUCCUUCACUUAGGUGAGAAACUUUAACCCCUUGUCACUUCUCUACAGGACACACAAAAAAAACAGAGUACACAAGGUCGUGAUCUCCUGUUUGACUGACAGCAGGUGAAACACGACACUGCAUGUGGAUGAGGAAGUGCAGCUCGACAGCUCUUUCCCCUGUGACGCUGCUGCCUCCACAGAAAACAGACAGCUUCUACCUGAGCAACGGACUCACCUGAGAGGAGACAGGAGACACACAUCUGUUGGUAAGAAGAUAGACUCACUAGUAAUUCUUUGGUUUGAUGCUAACACAACUUCUGAGCAAUUCAAUCCAACUUUUUAGACAGUUACAUCCUCACACUGUCAAUUAAAAUCAGAAUUUUGUGGUGUGUUGCGGUUUCUUUCAGGUUGUAGCGGUUGUUUCCAUCAGGAUAAAGUAUGGUAAGUGUUUCCUUCCUUUGUCUCACAUUCUGUUCGAUGACAAACUGAAGUGUGUGAGACUAGAAAACAACUUUAGGAUGAAUGUGCUGCAGCCACAGCACCAGAAAUAACCGAAAUGUUUGUUCAAUGAAGUGAGUCUUGACUCCUCAAAGGUCAGUGCCUCUUUGAACCACACUGAGACCUGCGCUGCAUGAUCAGUUUUAAACAAUAAACAUCACAAAGAAGUGUCAGCACAGCUCCCGAAUUUGCAUGACAUCCAAUGUAUCCUGAUUUUCAAUAAUUUGAUUGCUUUUUCAUCCCACUGAAUCCUCACCCUUUUUUCAAUUUGGUAUAUAUUGUGAAGACUUGAUGCGUGCAGAUAUCCUGACUUUUAGAUGAGCCUUUAUUUCCUGAGAGGGUUUUCUGCAGAGAUGCACUCAUUAGGAAAACAUUAGUGAGACUCACUUGCACCUUAUUCUCACUUUGGCACUAAAAGAGAAGGAGCAGCUUCAUUUGAUACCCUUGAUUUGAUUUUAUCCUCUCCAGCUCAGAGAGGGACUUCAGACUGUCUGAUGAGGGCGAGCUGAUUUAAGAAGUAAAGUGAUGGCAAGAACUCAGUUUCAGCUGACGACGCUGGUCUAAUUUGCACCAUAUUGUAUUACCACGUUCAUGAAAGCUGUAGGUGUCAUUUGUAUCCCUGCUGGGUUACAAUUUCAUCAACACAGCGGGGAGACAAUGACAUCCUGAUAGUGCUCUGACUAAAAACGGAAACUCUCUGUUCUUAAGAAGUUAAUAAAACUGCCUUUCCUUUGAGAUAAGCCUGAACAGCAUCUAAGAUCCUGUUCAAGAGAAGUACUGAGAGCCUCCGGUACCAUAAACCACAAAAACCUCAACUGAAAUCAAGUCGACUGACAUUUGUUUUUCAGGGCCGAUGUUGAUUAUCGCUAGUUGAUUGGACUGAUAUCUAUUGACGAUAAAAAUAAAAAAAUCUUUGGGUCAAAAUUGAGAUUAUUUUGAAUUCCUCCACACAAUUUUGCUGAAAUGAUUUUAGCUAAUGUUUAAUCUAAGCUGAGAUGUUCAACAUCAUAAUCAUAAUUUAACAGAAAACCAUCUGCACCUUUAGUAACGUUUCGUCCACUCGGUACGUUUACAUUAAGUUUAAAAAAUUGGAUUUAUUGCCUUAGUUCGACUUACACUGGACUUUACCCUAAAAUGAACUUCCCAUAAUCAGCUAACAUAGGUAAUAAUGCAGUUGGACUGACUGAAAGUGGCCUUAGCACUCUGCUCACGCUCCAGUGUUUGCACAUCAGAAGUUAAAUCGCACAGAUGUGUUGCUAGAAAUAAACAAAACCUCAAAAGGCGAAGUGCAGAUGACAGCUUUAUCGAUGGAUUCAAUGGUCGGGGUGAGCAGGGGAGAAUUUUAAUCUCUGGAGUAUGAAAGCUACAUAUCACUUAAUAUUUCUAUUUAGAACAGUAACUUGAAUUCCUGCACUAAUCAGCUGUUAACACAAUAAACUGUCCUUUAAGCUCAGUUUCUUUAUUUUGGCAUUAAACUUCAGUUUGGAUGGUUUUCCCUGAUACUCGUGUUUUUCUGAAUUUCAUGCAAAAACAUAAAAAAUUUCAACAAAAAUUUUUAAUUUUGCUGCAAAGGUAAAUGCAUCAUAAAAAUAUCACUAUCAUUUCCAAUCACUUUCAAGAAAGCAGCACAAUAAAAGUUCAGGGAUUGACCAAGUCAUAGGGGUUUAUCUUAAGGGGAUUUUCUAACAAUUUAUGAAACCUCACUGAUAUUUGUGUGGAUAUUUGCUCCUUCUCUGGACCACAAUGUGCCUAAAACUCUUUUAGUUUUGGGCUUCUGAGGGUUUAUUUUAAUUUUCAUUCUGGUCUUUGUAGAAAACAGAUACUGAGUUUUGUAAUAGAGGACACAACACUAGAUAAUAAAAUGAAAAUAAUUCAUAUUCCAGUAAUGAAAAAUUAAUUAGAAACAAAGAGGAAACAUUUAUCAGUCUAAAACAGGUUUAUAAUUUCUGCAGAAAGAAAUGUAACCUCACUUUUACGAGGCAGGCAGGAUCAUUGCCGUGAAACCAAAGCAACAGCCCUUCAAGGUAAAACCUCCAGAUCUCUUAAGAGAAGAAAAAGAUCGUUCCCUUGGGUAGCUUCUACUAUGUGUGAAAACAACAAAAGAGAUCAUAAACAGCAUCAGCUAUAACUGAGAGCAGGAUGAGGACAUGAUUAUUUUACAACUCCCACCUUCGCAUGAGUUUGAGACAAGGCUGCAGCUGAGGCAGAUGUUUUAUUGCUUUUUCUUCAAAUGACAUUUUCUCUGCAGAACAAUCUCCCACGUGACGCGCAACAUGUUUUUGUAAAUUACCACAAAGCAGCAGCCAGACUUGAUUGAAAUGACAUGUUCAGUACUUGCCCCAGAGUUUGGUAGGCAGCAAUUAAUCCGAAGUGUGUUUGAUUGCCAGCUGCUACAUUUUUGGUGCGGUUACAGCAAACAUUAACAGAAACAUCAUUACAUACCCAAAAUGAGAAACUGCAAGAGUUUCUACUGACGUUUCUUAUUUUGAUUAGACUGGGGGAGUUUUGAGAAAAUCAAUUUGAUCUGCAAAAAAGACCAAAACAUGACAAGGAAAGCCUUUAAUUGAAGUAGGUCCAACAUCUCUCUAUCAUUCCCUGUGUUAAGUCGAGACUUCAUUUUCUGAUAAGAUGAAAUAUUAGAUGUUCAAUCUUCAUUUAAAGCUCCUAUAGGUGGUUUUUGGCUGGUCAUUAAACAGUAUUGAUGUGUCUUUCAAUAAUCUAAAAAUGCAAAAAGACCAUUAGCAAAAACAAUGACUAUUGUUUUUCAAUGUCUGAAGCAUUUGUGUUGGGUAGGAGGCCAGGAAGCUUUCCAGUCAUCUAUAAUUAUCCUAUCAGGCUGUCCAAAAUACUUGAUUCUGAUUGUUCAAUACCCCGAAGCA
Molecule: non-coding RNA, 4735 nt
Organism: Xyrichtys novacula (pearly razorfish)
Lineage: Eukaryota; Metazoa; Chordata; Actinopteri; Labriformes; Labridae
Source: the annotation of a GenBank genome assembly